Molecule: transfer RNA, 65 nt
Filed under: Euspilotus scissus
Lineage: Eukaryota; Metazoa; Arthropoda; Insecta; Coleoptera; Histeridae
Description: tRNA-Asp
Source: RNAcentral
AAAAAUUUAGUUAAACUAUAUCAUUAGCUUGCCAAGCUAAAUUUAUUAAAUUUUAAUAAUUUUUA